CCUACGGGAGGCAGCAGUGGGGAAUAUUGGGCAAUGGGCGCAAGCCUUACCCAGCAAUACCGCGUGAGUGAAGAAGGUCUUCGGAUUGUAAAGCUCUUUGAUCAGGGACGAACAGAUGACGGUACCUGAAGAACAAGCCCCGGCUAACUACGUGCCAGCAGCCGCGGUAAAACGUAGGGGGCGAGCGUUGUCCGGAAUGACUGGGCGUAAAGAGUUCGUAGGCGGCACGUAAAGUCUGGUGUUAAAGGCAGAGGCUCAACUUCUGUACGGCACUGGAUACUUGCGAGCUAGAAUGCGGUAGAGGUAAAGGGAAUUCCUGGUGUAGCGGUGAAAUGCUUAGAUAUCAGGAGGAACAUCGGUGGCGUAAGCGCUUUACUGGGCCGUAAUUGACGCUGAGGAACGAAAGCCAGGGUAGCAAAUGGGAUUAGAUACCCCGGUAGUC
This 442-nucleotide ribosomal RNA is filed under the name uncultured bacterium. Its description in RNAcentral is "partial 16S ribosomal RNA". It matches the Rfam family "Bacterial small subunit ribosomal RNA", at positions 338 to 795 of the family's 1533-position model. The record is from RNAcentral.